This 360-nucleotide RNase P RNA is filed under the name Patescibacteria group bacterium. Its description in RNAcentral is "RNase P RNA component class A". It matches the Rfam family "Bacterial RNase P class A". From Rfam's summary of the family: Ribonuclease P (RNase P) is a ubiquitous endoribonuclease, found in archaea, bacteria and eukarya as well as chloroplasts and mitochondria. Its best characterised activity is the generation of mature 5'-ends of tRNAs by cleaving the 5'-leader elements of precursor-tRNAs. The record is from RNAcentral.
ACGGCAGGCGAGACAGUAGCUCCGAACCAGUAAUGGUUUAGGGGAGGAAAAUCGGGACACCGUCCGCGUUAAGCGGGAACGUACCAGCUAACGGCUGGCGUCCGCAAGGAUAGAGGUGCGAGCAGUGACGACCGAGCCGAAAGGUUAGGUGAUCCUAAUCCGCCGAAGCUCGUAAGAGCGAAGGCGGACGGGUUAAUCCUCGCAGUAAUGCAAGGAGUGAAACGGCUAAAUCCUUACGAGGUGCAAGGCCGCGUCCAUGGGCCUUAAAAUCCAUGGAAGUGCCGCAUGACCCUGAGAGCGAUCGAUGGGCUAGACAGAUUGCUGUCCUCGACAGAAUCCCGUUUACCGCCUGCCGUUUAG